CCUACGGGAGGCAGCAGUGAGGAAUAUUGGUCAAUGGCCGUAAGGCUGAACCAGCCAAGUCGCGUGAAGGAAGAAGGAUCUAUGGUUUGUAAACUUCUUUUAUAGGGGAAUAAAGGUAUCCACGUGUGGAUCUUUGCAUGUACCCUAUGAAUAAGCAUAGGCUAACUCCGUGCCAGCAGCCGCGGUAAUACGGAGGAUGCGAGCGUUAUCCGGAUUUAUGGGGUUUAAAGGGUGCGUAGGUUGUUUUUUAAGUCAGCGGUGAAAGUUUGUGGCUCAACCAUAAAAUUGCCGUUGAAACUGGAAGACUUGAGUGUGUUUGAGGUAGGCGGAAUGCGUGGUGUAGCGGUGAAAUGCAUAGAUAUCACGCAGAACUCCGAUUGCGAAGGCAGCUUACCAAGCUACGUCUGACGUUGAGGCACGAAAGCGUGGGGAGCAAACAGGAUUAGAUACCCUUGUAGUC
RNAcentral lists this ribosomal RNA (460 nucleotides) under uncultured bacterium. RNAcentral describes it as "partial 16S ribosomal RNA". It matches the Rfam family "Bacterial small subunit ribosomal RNA", at positions 338 to 795 of the family's 1533-position model. The record is from RNAcentral.